RNAcentral lists this ribosomal RNA (2547 nucleotides) under Staphylococcus aureus. Its description in RNAcentral is "partial 23S ribosomal RNA". It matches the Rfam family "Bacterial large subunit ribosomal RNA", at positions 364 to 2925 of the family's 2925-position model. The record is from RNAcentral. Lineage: Bacteria; Bacillati; Bacillota; Bacilli; Caryophanales; Staphylococcaceae.
GUAAUAAUCCUGUAGUCGAAAAUGUUGUCUCUCUUGAGUGGAUCCUGAGUACGACGGAGCACGUGAAAUUCCGUCGGAAUCUGGGAGGACCAUCUCCUAAGGCUAAAUACUCUCUAGUGACCGAUAGUGAACCAGUACCGUGAGGGAAAGGUGAAAAGCACCCCGGAAGGGGAGUGAAAUAGAACCUGAAACCGUGUGCUUACAAGUAGUCAGAGCCCGUUAAUGGGUGAUGGCGUGCCUUUUGUAGAAUGAACCGGCGAGUUACGAUUUGAUGCAAGGUUAAGCAGUAAAUGUGGAGCCGUAGCGAAAGCGAGUCUGAAUAGGGCGUUUAGUAUUUGGUCGUAGACCCGAAACCAGGUGAUCUACCCUUGGUCAGGUUGAAGUUCAGGUAACACUGAAUGGAGGACCGAACCGACUUACGUUGAAAAGUGAGCGGAUGAACUGAGGGUAGCGGAGAAAUUCCAAUCGAACCUGGAGAUAGCUGGUUCUCUCCGAAAUAGCUUUAGGGCUAGCCUCAAGUGAUGAUUAUUGGAGGUAGAGCACUGUUUGGACGAGGGGCCCCUCUCGGGUUACCGAAUUCAGACAAACUCCGAAUGCCAAUUAAUUUAACUUGGGAGUCAGAACAUGGGUGAUAAGGUCCGUGUUCGAAAGGGAAACAGCCCAGACCACCAGCUAAGGUCCCAAAAUAUAUGUUAAGUGGAAAAGGAUGUGGCGUUGCCCAGACAACUAGGAUGUUGGCUUAGAAGCAGCCAUCAUUUAAAGAGUGCGUAAUAGCUCACUAGUCGAGUGACACUGCGCCGAAAAUGUACCGGGGCUAAACAUAUUACCGAAGCUGUGGAUUGUCCUUUGGACAAUGGUAGGAGAGCGUUCUAAGGGCGUUGAAGCAUGAUCGUAAGGACAUGUGGAGCGCUUAGAAGUGAGAAUGCCGGUGUGAGUAGCGAAAGACGGGUGAGAAUCCCGUCCACCGAUUGACUAAGGUUUCCAGAGGAAGGCUCGUCCGCUCUGGGUUAGUCGGGUCCUAAGCUGAGGCCGACAGGCGUAGGCGAUGGAUAACAGGUUGAUAUUCCUGUACCACCUAUAAUCGUUUUAAUCGAUGGGGGGACGCAGUAGGAUAGGCGAAGCGUGCGAUUGGAUUGCACGUCUAAGCAGUAAGGCUGAGUAUUAGGCAAAUCCGGUACUCGUUAAGGCUGAGCUGUGAUGGGGAGAAGACAUUGAGUCUUCGAGUCGUUGAUUUCACACUGCCGAGAAAAGCCUCUAGAUAGAAAAUAGGUGCCCGUACCGCAAACCGACACAGGUAGUCAAGAUGAGAAUUCUAAGGUGAGCGAGCGAACUCUCGUUAAGGAACUCGGCAAAAUGACCCCGUAACUUCGGGAGAAGGGGUGCUCUUUAGGGUUAACGCCCAGAAGAGCCGCAGUGAAUAGGCCCAAGCGACUGUUUAUCAAAAACACAGGUCUCUGCUAAACCGUAAGGUGAUGUAUAGGGGCUGACGCCUGCCCGGUGCUGGAAGGUUAAGAGGAGUGGUUAGCUUCUGCGAAGCUACGAAUCGAAGCCCCAGUAAACGGCGGCCGUAACUAUAACGGUCCUAAGGUAGCGAAAUUCCUUGUCGGGUAAGUUCCGACCCGCACGAAAGGCGUAACGAUUUGGGCACUGUCUCAACGAGAGACUCGGUGAAAUCAUAGUACCUGUGAAGAUGCAGGUUACCCGCGACAGGACGGAAAGACCCCGUGGAGCUUUACUGUAGCCUGAUAUUGAAAUUCGGCACAGCUUGUACAGGAUAGGUAGGAGCCUUUGAAACGUGAGCGCUAGCUUACGUGGAGGCGCUGGUGGGAUACUACCCUAGCUGUGUUGGCUUUCUAACCCGCACCACUUAUCGUGGUGGGAGACAGUGUCAGGCGGGCAGUUUGACUGGGGCGGUCGCCUCCUAAAAGGUAACGGAGGCGCUCAAAGGUUCCCUCAGAAUGGUUGGAAAUCAUUCAUAGAGUGUAAAGGCAUAAGGGAGCUUGACUGCGAGACCUACAAGUCGAGCAGGGUCGAAAGACGGACUUAGUGAUCCGGUGGUUCCGCAUGGAAGGGCCAUCGCUCAACGGAUAAAAGCUACCCCGGGGAUAACAGGCUUAUCUCCCCCAAGAGUUCACAUCGACGGGGAGGUUUGGCACCUCGAUGUCGGCUCAUCGCAUCCUGGGGCUGUAGUCGGUCCCAAGGGUUGGGCUGUUCGCCCAUUAAAGCGGUACGCGAGCUGGGUUCAGAACGUCGUGAGACAGUUCGGUCCCUAUCCGUCGUGGGCGUAGGAAAUUUGAGAGGAGCUGUCCUUAGUACGAGAGGACCGGGAUGGACAUACCUCUGGUGUACCAGUUGUCGUGCCAACGGCAUAGCUGGGUAGCUAUGUGUGGACGGGAUAAGUGCUGAAAGCAUCUAAGCAUGAAGCCCCCCUCAAGAUGAGAUUUCCCAACUUCGGUUAUAAGAUCCCUCAAAGAUGAUGAGGUUAAUAGGUUCGAGGUGGAAGCAUGGUGACAUGUGGAGCUGACGAAUACUAAUCGAUCGAAGACU